Long non-coding RNA from Dendroctonus ponderosae (mountain pine beetle), 716 nucleotides. RefSeq lists it as uncharacterized. The transcript is spliced from 2 exons. The record is from RefSeq and is a predicted model, not a curated record. NCBI's taxonomy places the organism in Eukaryota, Metazoa, Arthropoda, Insecta, Coleoptera, Curculionidae.
GUUUAUAGUAGAAAACGAUUUUGCGAACUGACUGCAAAAAUGAUUAAUGGAUGUUGCAAAAAAAUUCGGGAAAUUGGUUUUACAUUAUUAUGAUUUCUGGUAUGACUUCACACCUAUAAUCAACUUGAGUCACCUGCUUGGCAUUUACCAGUGCCGAUAAGAAAAAGAUACGAUAAGAUAAAAUCAAUCAAUAAAUAAAAGGGAACACUUGCGAUUUUUCAAUUAGCAAACCAACCAAGUUGAAAUCAAAUUACUUAGUUUUCAAAUAGAUACGUGUUGAAAAGCAGCAACUUUUUUUAUUUGAUUUGAUUCGAUUCAAUUCAUGGCUAUAACAAAGAAUUCUGAUACUUCGGCUCUUUGCUAUGGUCCACCUCCACCUCCAGGGCAUCCGGGACCUCCGCCUCCCGAUGAUUGUUGCGGGUGCGGCCCCGGAGGAUGUUGUGGACCUGGUUGUUGCGAUUGUGGGCCUGGAAGGCCAUGCGUUUGUGUCUGCACCAUAUUAUAAUUAGGCGAUUCUGGAUAUUCCGGAAAUUGUUCAUCGAAGGAAGCGAUCGUUACAAGUGAAUAAAUUUUUAAAUUGUAAUUAAAAAUUACAAACAUUUCCUGAGCUGGUAGUAAUAUCGAAGGUGACUGAUAAAUAGUGAUUUAUAAGCGACUAACUAGGAGAUAAUACUAUAGUAUGUAGCUACAAAUAAAUAGAGCUGAUGCCAAUGAAA